CCGGCCUUAGCUCAAAUGGAAGAGUGAGAGGUUUAGGCAGCUUGGUUGUAUAAACCAGAGGCUUGCUUAAUCCUUUUGGUUGCCGGUUCAAAUCCGGCAGGCCGGU
Molecule: transfer RNA, 106 nt
Organism: Beta vulgaris subsp. vulgaris (sugar beet)
Lineage: Eukaryota; Viridiplantae; Streptophyta; Magnoliopsida; Caryophyllales; Amaranthaceae
Rfam family: tRNA
About the family: Transfer RNA (tRNA) molecules are approximately 80 nucleotides in length.
Source: Rfam